Molecule: ribosomal RNA, 1217 nt
Filed under: uncultured bacterium
Lineage: Bacteria
Description: bacterial SSU rRNA
Rfam family: Bacterial small subunit ribosomal RNA
Source: RNAcentral
UAGUUGGUGAGGUAAUGGCUCACCAAGGCAAUGACGCCUAACUGGUUUGAGAGGAUGAUCAGUCACACUGGAACUGAGACACGGUCCAGACUCCUACGGGAGGCAGCAGUGGGGAAUAUUGCACAAUGGAGGGAACUCUGAUGCAGCAACGCCGCGUGGAGGAUGACACUUUUCGGAGCGUAAACUCCUUUUAUAUAGGAAGAUAAUGACGGUACUAUAUGAAUAAGCACCGGCUAACUCCGUGCCAGCAGCCGCGGUAAUACGGAGGGUGCAAGCGUUACUCGGAAUCACUGGGCGUAAAGAGCGUGUAGGCGGGUUAAUAAGUCAGAUGUGAAAGCCUAUGGCUCAACCAUAGAACUGCAUUUGAAACUGUUAACCUAGAAUAUGGGAGAGGUAGAUGGAAUUUCUGGUGUAGGGGUAAAAUCCGUAGAGAUCAGAAGGAAUACCGAUUGCGAAGGCGAUCUACUGGAACAUUAUUGACGCUGAGACGCGAAAGCGUAGGAGCAAAACAGGAUUAGAUACCCUGGUAGUCCACGCCCUAAAACGAUGUACACUAGUUGUUGCGAUGCUAGACAUUGCAGUAAUGCAGUUAACACAUUAAGUGUACCGCCUGGGGAGUACGGUCGCAAGAUUAAAACUCAAAGGAAUAGACGGGGACCCGCACAAGCGGUGGAGCAUGUGGUUUUAAUUCGACGAUACGCGAAGAACCUUACCUGGGCUUGACAUAGUAAGAACAAUUUAGAGAUAGAUUGGUGUCUGCUUGCAGAAACUUAUAUACAGGUGCUGCACGGCUGUCGUCAGCUCGUGUCGUGAGAUGUUGGGUUAAGUCCCGCAACGAGCGCAACCCACGUCGUUAGUUGCUAACAGUUCGGCUGAGAACUCUAACGAGACUGCCUGGGCAACCAGGAGGAAGGUGUGGACGACGUCAAGUCAUCAUGGCCCUUACGUCCAGGGCUACACACGUGCUACAAUGGGGUAUACAAAGAGCAGCGAUACCGCGAGGUGGAGCAAAUCUCAAAAAUACCUCCCAGUUCGGAUAGCACUCUGCAACUCGAGUGCUUGAAGUUGGAAUCGCUAGUAAUCGUAGAUCAGCAACGCUACGGUGAAUACGUUCCCGGGUCUUGUACUCACCGCCCGUCACACCAUGGGAGUUGAACUCAUUCGAAGCGGGGAUGCUAAGAUAGCUACCCUCCACAGUGGAUUCAGCGACUGGGGUG